This 385-nucleotide long non-coding RNA is filed under the name Androctonus crassicauda. The record is from RNAcentral. Lineage: Eukaryota; Metazoa; Arthropoda; Arachnida; Scorpiones; Buthidae.
CUUCUGAUUUAUCAUUAUAGAUUAUAUAUGUAUUAUUUAAUUCUUGUUUUAUGCAUGCUUCAUUUAUGUUUUCUCAGAUAUAUAUGAAAAAUAAUCUCACCUGUCAGAGAUAUACAAAUAUUUUCAUAAAUACACAAUUUGAAAAAAAAAAAAUGAAAAUUAUCAUUUGCAAAGUGAAGUGCAAGUUUGGACACUGUAUUCAUAAGAUAGCCAUAAAUUUGAGUUUGAUUUUGCAAUUGUUUUCUGCAAAAAAAAUCACAAAAUGAAAAAUGAAUUGAAUCACAAUCAUACAAAUACAGGCCAGCUUGAGCAGAACUUGAAGAAAGUAUCAAGCAGAAGAAAUAACAAUGAUUUAAUAUUGCUGCUUUAGUAACAUGAAUAUGCA